GCCCUCGUGGCGGAAUUGGUAGACGCACUAGACUUAGGAUCUAGCGCCUUUGGCGUGUCAGUUCGAGUCUGACCGAGGGCA
Molecule: non-coding RNA, 81 nt
Organism: Coccomyxa sp. Obi
Lineage: Eukaryota; Viridiplantae; Chlorophyta; Trebouxiophyceae; Coccomyxaceae
Source: the annotation of a GenBank genome assembly